GGCAGGCUUAACACAUGCAAGUCGCGGGGCAGCGCGUAGAGUGGCAACACUUUAUGGCGGCGACCGGCGGAAGGGUGCGUAACGCGUGAGGAACAUGCCUUAUACAGGGGGAUAAGCCGUGGAAACGCGGUCUAAUACUCCAUAGGUUAGAGGUAGGACAUCCUACUUUUAAGAAAGCAGCGAUGCGGUAUAAGAUUGUCUCGCGUAACAUUAGCUAGUCGGCGGGGUAAAGGCCCACCGAGGCUACGAUGUUUAGGGGUUCUGAGAGGGAGAUCCCCCACACUGGAACUGAGACACGGUCCAGACUCCUACGGGAGGCAGCAGUGAGGAAUAUUGGACAAUGGCCGGAAGGCUGAUCCAGCCAUGCCGCGUGCGGGCUAGGGCCCUAUGGGUCUUAAACCGCUUUUGUGCGGGAGCAAUAAGCGCUACGUGUAGCGCGAUGAGAGUACCGUACGAAUAAGCACCGGCUAACUCCGUGCCAGCAGCCGCGGUAAUACGGAGGGUGCGAGCGUUAUCCGGAUUUAUUGGGCUUAAAGGGUGCGUAGGCGGGCUGUCAAGUCUGCGGUGAAAAGCCAGGGCCUAACUCUGGUCGUGCCGUGGAAACUGGCGGUCUUGAAUGGCGAUGACGUUGGCGGAAUGUGGGGUGUAGCGGUGAAAUGCAUAGAUAUUCCACAGAACACCGAUUGCGGAAGCAGCUGACGAAGGGCCUAUUGACGCUGAGGCACGAAGGCGCGGGGAUCGAACAGGAUUAGAUACCCUGGUAGUCCGCGCGGUAAACGAUGACGACCGGCUGUCGGCGGUAUACUGUCGGUAGCGAAGCGAAAGCGCUGAGUCGUCCGCCUGGGGAGUACGGCCGCAAGGCUGAAACUCAAAGGAAUUGACGGGGGCCCGCACAAGCGGAGGAACAUGUGGUUUAAUUCGAUGAUACGCGAGGAACCUUACCCAGGCUCGAACGGCGUCCGUUAUAUAUAGAGAUAUAUAGUCGUAGCAAUACGUGGGCGUCGAGGUGCUGCAUGGUUGUCGUCAGCUCGUGCCGUGAGGUGUAGGCUCAAGUGCCAUAACGAGCGCAACCCCUGCCGUCAGUUGCCAUCGGGUCGUGCCGGGCACUCUGUCGGGACUGCCGCCGUAAGGUGUGAGGAGGGAGGGGAUGACGUCAAAUCAGCACGGCCCUUACGUCUGGGGCGACACACGUGUUACAAUGGCAGGUACAGAGGGGAGCGAGCCGGCGACGGCGAGCGGAUCCCGGAAAGCCUGCCUCAGUUCGGACCGGAGCCUGCAACUCGGCUCCGCGAAGCUGGAUUCGCUAGUAAUCGCGCAUCAGCCAUGGCGCGGUGAAUACGUUCCCGGGC
Molecule: ribosomal RNA, 1349 nt
Filed under: uncultured bacterium
Lineage: Bacteria
Description: bacterial SSU rRNA
Rfam family: Bacterial small subunit ribosomal RNA
Source: RNAcentral